Molecule: long non-coding RNA, 500 nt
Organism: Seriola aureovittata
Lineage: Eukaryota; Metazoa; Chordata; Actinopteri; Carangiformes; Carangidae
Exons: 4
Source: RefSeq, a predicted model, not a curated record
CGAGUCCACGUUCUCAGUGCUCACACCUGGAGAGACACACACACACACACGUCAGUAUGUUCAUGUCAGAGGAGAAAACUGAUCUGCAGAGGAUGGACGAUGAGUUUCUGGAAAUAUCUGACGUAGCCGCAGGGCAGCAGCUCGGGUGUGUGGGCGGCGCUGAGGCUGCUGUGCCGGUGGAUUUCUCCGAUGUUGUAUCCCUCCACACUGUCUGAGCUCAGGCCCAGCUGGCUCACAGGGUCCACGUGGCUCGUUUACCUUGAAAAGGCGUCGGACCACUCCGUCCAGAACAUCCCACUUGGUUUUACCACUCACACCGAUGCAGCCAAUCAGAAAGUGGCGUGGCCGGCCCUCCUGCGAUUGAAAAGCAUGACUGGUUUUAGAAACCAAGAAGCCGACAGGCUGACGACGAUCUUGACGUGUCUCCCCUCCUUCCUCAUCCCUCCCUCUCCGCCAGUGUCAUCCAGCAGCAUGUCUGACAGGAGGGAAGAGCGAGUUAG